RNAcentral lists this transfer RNA (65 nucleotides) under Terebratulina retusa. Its description in RNAcentral is "transfer RNA-Ser(UCN)". The record is from RNAcentral. Lineage: Eukaryota; Metazoa; Brachiopoda; Rhynchonellata; Terebratulida; Cancellothyrididae.
GAUCGAACCCCGAGGGAAAGCUGUCUUGAAAACAGUUCAAAAGUGUUUAACUCACUUGUCGAUCU